CUUCUUCCAUUAAUGUUUCCAUUGGCAGACCAGCAGCCAACACUUAGCCCCGCUUUUCUUCUUCUUAUUUGGCCUUCUUCGCGAAUCUGAGCUAGAUCCAGCUCCUUCUUCUUUGGUCUUCUUUGCAAAGCUGAACCAGACCCAGCUCCUUCUUCGGUCUUCUUCGUUGGCAGAUGAACCUCCUUCAGAACCUGAACUACCCUCGUUUCCCACGCCAC
This 218-nucleotide unclassified non-coding RNA is filed under the name Hevea brasiliensis (rubber tree). The record is from RNAcentral. Lineage: Eukaryota; Viridiplantae; Streptophyta; Magnoliopsida; Malpighiales; Euphorbiaceae.